This 82-nucleotide transfer RNA is filed under the name Anneissia japonica. Its description in RNAcentral is "tRNA-Ser". It matches the Rfam family "tRNA". Rfam says of the family: Transfer RNA (tRNA) molecules are approximately 80 nucleotides in length. Their secondary structure includes four short double-helical elements and three loops (D, anti-codon, and T loops). Lineage: Eukaryota; Metazoa; Echinodermata; Crinoidea; Comatulida; Comatulidae. The record is from RNAcentral.
GCUGUGAUGGCCGAGUGGUUAAGGCGUUGGACUCGAAAUCCAAUGGGAUCUUCCCGCGCAGGUUCGAACGCUGCUCGCAGCG